Molecule: ribosomal RNA, 253 nt
Filed under: uncultured bacterium
Lineage: Bacteria
Description: partial 16S ribosomal RNA
Rfam family: Bacterial small subunit ribosomal RNA
Source: RNAcentral
UACGGGGGGGGCAAGCGUUGUUCGGAAUUACUGGGCGUAAAGGGCUCGUAGGUGGCCAACUAAGUCAGACGUGAAAUCCCUCGGCUUAACCGGGGAACUGCGUCUGAUACUGGAUGGCUUGAGUUCGGGAGAGGGAUGCGGAAUUCCAGGUGUAGCGGUGAAAUGCGUAGAUAUCUGGAAGAACACCAGUGGCGAAGGCGCUCUACUGGGCCGUAACUGACACUGAGGGACGAAAGCUAGGGGAGCGAAAGGG